Molecule: transfer RNA, 68 nt
Filed under: Gibbosula rochechouartii
Lineage: Eukaryota; Metazoa; Mollusca; Bivalvia; Unionida; Margaritiferidae
Description: tRNA-Cys
Source: RNAcentral
UGUCUUGUAGUAUAUUACGUGUAAUACUAUAAACUGCAACUUUAUCGAAGCCAACAGCGCCAAGACAU